Molecule: ribosomal RNA, 494 nt
Filed under: uncultured bacterium
Lineage: Bacteria
Description: partial 16S ribosomal RNA
Rfam family: Bacterial small subunit ribosomal RNA
Source: RNAcentral
ACGAACGCUGGCGGCGUGCCUAAUACAUGCAAGUAGAACGCUGAAGGAGGAGCUUGCUCUUCUGGAUGAGUUGCGAACGGGUGAGUAACGCGUAGGUAACCUGCCUGGUAGCGGGGGAUAACUAUUGGAAACGAUAGCUAAUACCGCAUAACAGUAGAUGUUGCAUGACAUUUACUUAAAAGGUGCAAUUGCAUCACUACCAGAUGGACCUGCGUUGUAUUAGCUAGUUGGUGGGGUAACGGCUCACCAAGGCGACGAUACAUAGCCGACCUGAGAGGGUGAUCGGCCAAACUGGGACGGAGACACGGCCCAGACUCCUACGGGAGGCAGCAGUAGGGAAUCUUCGGCAAUGGACGGAAGUCUGACCGAGCAACGCCGCGUGAGGGAAGAAGGGUUUCGGAUCGGAAAGCUCUGUUGUAAGAGAAGAACGAGUGUGAGAGUGGAAAGUUCACACUGUGACGGUAUCUUACCAGAAAGGGACGGCUAACUACGUG